GGGCCGGUAGUCUAGCGUGGUUAGGACGCAGCCUUUACGAGGCUGAGGUCGCAGGUUCAAGUCCUGCCCGGCCCACCA
RNAcentral lists this transfer RNA (78 nucleotides) under Candidatus Bathyarchaeota archaeon. RNAcentral's name for it is "tRNA-Val". It matches the Rfam family "tRNA". From Rfam's summary of the family: Transfer RNA (tRNA) molecules are approximately 80 nucleotides in length. Their secondary structure includes four short double-helical elements and three loops (D, anti-codon, and T loops). The record is from RNAcentral. Lineage: Archaea; Thermoproteati; Candidatus Bathyarchaeota. RNAcentral also lists the same sequence under 2 other names.